This 1359-nucleotide ribosomal RNA is filed under the name uncultured bacterium. RNAcentral's name for it is "bacterial SSU rRNA". It matches the Rfam family "Bacterial small subunit ribosomal RNA", at positions 28 to 1381 of the family's 1533-position model. The record is from RNAcentral.
GAUGAACGCUAGCUACAGGCUUAACACAUGCAAGUCGAGGGGCAGCAUUUUAGUUUGCUUGCAAACUGAAGAUGGCGACCGGCGCACGGGUGAGUAACACGUAUCCAACCUGCCGAUAACUCCGGAAUAGCCUUUCGAAAGAAAGAUUAAUACCGGAUGGCAUACGAAUAUCGCAUGAUAUUUUUAUUAAAGAAUUUCGGUUAUCGAUGGGGAUGCGUUCCAUUAGUUUGUUGGCGGGGUAACGGCCCACCAAGACUACGAUGGAUAGGGGUUCUGAGAGGAAGGUCCCCCACAUUGGAACUGAGACACGGUCCAAACUCCUACGGGAGGCAGCAGUGAGGAAUAUUGGUCAAUGGGCGAGAGCCUGAACCAGCCAAGUAGCGUGAAGGAUGAAGGCUCUAUGGGUCGUAAACUUCUUUUAUAUGGGAAUAAAGUAUUCCACGUGUGGAAUUUUGUAUGUACCAUAUGAAUAAGGAUCGGCUAACUCCGUGCCAGCAGCCGCGGUAAUACGGAGGAUCCGAGCGUUAUCCGGAUUUAUUGGGUUUAAAGGGAGCGUAGGUGGAUUGUUAAGUCAGUUGUGAAAGUUUGCGGCUCAACCGUAAAAUUGCAGUUGAAACUGGCAGUCUUGAGUACAGUAGAGGUGGGCGGAAUUCGUGGUGUAGCGGUGAAAUGCUUAGAUAUCACGAAGAACUCCGAUUGCGAAGGCAGCUCACUAGACUGUCACUGACACUGAUGCUCGAAAGUGUGGGUAUCAAACAGGAUUAGAUACCCUGGUAGUCCACACAGUAAACGAUGAAUACUCGCUGUUUGCGAUAUACAGUAAGCGGCCAAGCGAAAGCAUUAAGUAUUCCACCUGGGGAGUACGCCGGCAACGGUGAAACUCAAAGGAAUUGACGGGGGUCCGCACAAGCGGAGGAACAUGUGGUUUAAUUCGAUGAUACGCGAGGAACCUUACCCGGGCUUAAAUUGCAACAGAAUAUAUUGGAAACAGUAUAGCCGUAAGGCUGUUGUGAAGGUGCUGCAUGGUUGUCGUCAGCUCGUGCCGUGAGGUGUCGGCUUAAGUGCCAUAACGAGCGCAACCCUUAUCUUUAGUUACUAACAGGUCAUGCUGAGGACUCUAGAGAGACUGCCGUCGUAAGAUGUGAGGAAGGUGGGGAUGACGUCAAAUCAGCACGGCCCUUACGUCCGGGGCUACACACGUGUUACAAUGGGGGGUACAGAAGGCGGCUACCUGGUGACAGGAUGCUAAUCCCAAAAACCUCUCUCAGUUCGGAUCGAAGUCUGCAACCCGACUUCGUGAAGCUGGAUUCGCUAGUAAUCGCGCAUCAGCCAUGGCGCGGUGAAUACGUUCCCGGGCCU